Long non-coding RNA from Oreochromis niloticus (Nile tilapia), 1164 nucleotides. RefSeq lists it as uncharacterized. The record is from RefSeq and is a predicted model, not a curated record. Lineage: Eukaryota; Metazoa; Chordata; Actinopteri; Cichliformes; Cichlidae. The transcript has 2 exons.
UAUGUCAAAGGUGUUUGCCCAGGUUUUGAAGGAGUUAAAAAUUAAACAUCAAAGGUCCAGCCCUUAUCACCCAGAGAGUCAAGGUGCACUGGAACGAUUUCAUCAAACCCUAAAAACCAUGUUGCGCAAAUACUGCCUUGAAUCAGGUAAAGACUGGGAGGAGGGACUUCCACUUCUGCUUUUUGCUGUUAGAGAAGCCACCCAGGAAUCCCUUGGAUUUAGUCCGGCUGACUUAGUUUUUGGACACACUGUGCGCGGUCCCCUGCGACUGCUUAAAGAAAAGUGGUUAUCAGAGUCGCAUCAAGCCGAACAUAAUGUGUUAGAUUACGUUUGCAGUUUUAGAGAGCGUCUUUUCCGGGCAUGUCAGCUGGCCCGUGAAAAUUUGGAACAAACCCAAGGCAACAUGAAAGCCCGGUGCUCCUCCGUGGUUGGUGCAUCCAGGGUGGAUGGCUCGCACCGAUUGGCUGACGACCGGGAGGCAGCGGAUGAGAAGAGACCACCAGGGACUGCCAUUCAUUCAUCCUCGGCCCAACCCAACCGGCAGACCGUUCACUGUGUCACUGUUACUAUGUUGGUUAAUGUAAGAGCAUGUAGGGGUGGACCGCCUUUUUGUUUGAUCAGUUUUCUCCUGUUUCUGUUAGGUAGGGAGGAAAGUGAUUGUCGUUUGGUUUAGUUCUUUUGAGUAGGUAAGUUGUGUUUAUUCCUGAGAUAGGCUAUCUUUUGUUUGUUGUUUUGGCCUUGGGUUCACCCUGAAGUUAUGAUAUGCUCCCUUCCUUUGUUUAACUGCACUCAUUGUAAAUAAAUCACUGUCACAAAAUAUUAAGUGUGUGACGUGCUGCUUGGGGUUGGACGGGGAUGGAUCACCCUUUAUGUUGUGGUCUGGCCGCGCCUAGACGGGCCAUAACACUGAAUCUUUGAGAUGAUUAAACUUAAUCUAAGUCUGGUGUGACUUUUGAGAACAUAAGGGUAAUGGUGUUACUUUGUCUCUGUUAGAGCUCCCCCUGCUGGUCAGGGUGGCAGCAAAAAAAACAUUUUUUGCAAGAGCUUUGUAAACACUGGCAAUCCCACGUCUCCCAAACUGCCUACCACCUCAUUUAUUUCAAGCAUCGGCUUAUUAAUUAUCUCUCUGUUAGUCUCUACAUCCUUCCUAUAUCCGUUAUGUGA